This 253-nucleotide ribosomal RNA is filed under the name uncultured bacterium. RNAcentral describes it as "partial 16S ribosomal RNA". It matches the Rfam family "Bacterial small subunit ribosomal RNA", at positions 524 to 776 of the family's 1533-position model. The record is from RNAcentral. RNAcentral also lists the same sequence under 1 other name.
UACGAGAGGCCCAAACGUUAUUCGGAAUUACUGGGCUUAAAGAGUUCGUAGGCGGCGCAGAAAGUAGGGUGUGAAAGCCCUCGGCUCAACCGAGGAAUUGCGCUCUAAACUACUGUGCUUGAGGAAGCUAGAGGUGAGCAGAACUGAUGGUGGAGCGGUGAAAUGCGUUGAUAUCAUCAGGAAUACCGGAGGCGAAGGCGGCUCACUGGGGCUUUUCUGACGCUGAGGAACGAAAGCCAGGGUAGCGAACGGG